AGUGUGGUCCUGGUUUGUCCACACUUCUGGCUGGGUUUCUUCAUAGUCCCUAUUGUGUGCCUGAUUCUAAAUCUACUAUGGACAUCGAUUAGAAAUACCUGCAACAGAACGUUACUAGAAGAAGUUCGUAAGAUGGAAAGAGGCAGAGUUCAAGAACUUCAUCUUCCAACAGCGUUUGAAAAGAGCGUGAAGACAGAACACCUCCAACUGCCUCUGUCCAGCCAGCUG
Long non-coding RNA from Lynx canadensis (Canada lynx), 228 nucleotides. RefSeq lists it as uncharacterized. Lineage: Eukaryota; Metazoa; Chordata; Mammalia; Carnivora; Felidae. The transcript has 3 exons. The record is from RefSeq and is a predicted model, not a curated record.